Molecule: ribosomal RNA, 253 nt
Filed under: uncultured bacterium
Lineage: Bacteria
Description: partial 16S ribosomal RNA
Rfam family: Bacterial small subunit ribosomal RNA
Source: RNAcentral
UACGAAGGUCCCAAGCGUUAUCCGGAUUUAUUGGGUUUAAAGGGUGCGUAGGCGGGCUAUUAAGUCAGUGGUGAAAGCCCCAAGCUUAACUUGGGAAUUGCCAUUGAUACUGCUGAGCUUGAAUCAGGUUGAGGUUGGCGGAAUGUGACAUGUAGCGGUGAAAUGCUUAGAUAUGACACAGAACACCGAUUGCGAAGGCAGCUCACUAAAUUGUAACUGACGCUGAGGCACGAAAGCGUGGGGAUCAAACAGG